AAUAUUGCGCAAUGGGGUGAACCCUGACGCAGCAACGCCGCGUGAGCGAAGAAGGCCUUCGGGUCGUAAAGCUCUGUCUAGAGGGAUGAUAGUGACAGUACCUCUGUAGUAAGCCCCGGCUAACUACUUCGCAGCAGCCGCGGUAACACGUAGGGGGCAAGCGUUGUCCGGAGUUACUGGGCGUAAAGGGCGCGUGGGCGGUAGAUUAAGUCAGAUGUGAAAGUCCAGGGCUCAACCCUGGAAUUGCAAUUGAAACCGGUUUACUUGAGUGCAGGAGAAGAGAGCGGAAUUCCUAGUGUAGCGGUGAAAUGCGUAGAUAUUAGGAAGAACACCAGUGGCGAAGGCGGCUCUCUGGACUGUAACUGACGCUGAGGCGCGAAAGCGUGGGUAGCGAAAA
This 397-nucleotide ribosomal RNA is filed under the name uncultured bacterium. RNAcentral describes it as "partial 16S ribosomal RNA". It matches the Rfam family "Bacterial small subunit ribosomal RNA", at positions 360 to 774 of the family's 1533-position model. The record is from RNAcentral.